CCGCUGUAAAUUCAGCUUGCUCACGAAGGAACGUUGUCGUUAUCUCGGGUAACAGAGACUUCAAGUUGGUUGUUUCGACGGUCGCUCAUGAACUGGGACAUGCUCUAGGUGCUGUUCACGAUGGCGUCGGUACAUCGCGGCAAUGCUCAGCAAGUGAGCGGCACCUUAUGGCCCCAUCCUUGGGUUUCAACCGAAUGUUGACAUUUUCCACAUGCAGCAAGAGAGACAUCGACACAUUCUUGUCGACGAAGAACAGCUCUUGUUUGUUCAGCCGUAGAUGCCCAAGUGCUCCCAUAUCAAACCACGAGCAACAGAAAAGGAGAAAUAAUCAAUGCUUGAGUCACAAGAACCAAACUGAAGUGUUCUUGAAUGCUACCGUACUUUACGGGUGCAUAUUGAGCUGUUACGUUAAACUACCAGAGACAAAUCAAGUAACUUCGUUCGAAACAAGCGCUCCUGAUUGGACGAAUUGCGAGAUCAAUCAAGUGUGCAAGGUAUGCAUCGCAGGAUUAUGCGUUUAGAACAAAUACCUCACUCUUUUGACUGCUGCAGUAGUCAUUGGACUGUUUGGUCAAUAAAA
Rhipicephalus microplus (southern cattle tick) is the source of this 580-nucleotide long non-coding RNA. NCBI's taxonomy places the organism in Eukaryota, Metazoa, Arthropoda, Arachnida, Ixodida, Ixodidae. The record is from RefSeq and is a predicted model, not a curated record.